AAAGGAAUAGACGGGGGCCCGCACAAGCAGUGGAGUAUGUGGUUUAAUUCGACGCAACGCGAAGAACCUUACCAGGGCUUGACAUGUAUAUGAAUAUGCAAGAGAUUGCAUAGCUUUUCGGAGCAUAUACACAGGUGGUGCAUGGUUGUCGUCAGCUCGUGUCGUGAGAUGUUGGGUUAAGUCCCGCAACGAGCGCAACCCCUGUGAUUAGUUGCUAACAAGUUAAGUUGAGAACUUUAAUCAAACUGCCGUAGAUAAUACGGAGGAAGGUGGGGAUGACGUCAAAUCAUCAUGCCCUAUAUGCCCUGGGCUACACACGUACUACAAUGGUAGAUAACAGAGAGAGGCGAAACAGAGAUGUGGAGCAAAACUCAAAAAGCUAUCACAGUUCGGAUUGCAGGCUGAAAUUCGCCUGCAUGAAGCUGGAAUUGCUAGUAAUGGCAGGUCAGCAUACUGCCGUGAAUACGUUCCCGGGCCUUGUACACACCGCCCGU
This 494-nucleotide ribosomal RNA is filed under the name uncultured bacterium. Its description in RNAcentral is "bacterial SSU rRNA". It matches the Rfam family "Bacterial small subunit ribosomal RNA", at positions 903 to 1397 of the family's 1533-position model. The record is from RNAcentral.